AUGGCCGACGCCGCCGAGCAGUCCCAGUACGGCGAGCGCCUACCGCAUAGCGCACCCGUCGUAUCCCGGCGCACCUACACCCCGUACCAGCCUGAGGGCCUCAACCUCCCCUCGUACCAAGCGAUCUACGAUCUGCCGACCUCGCCGGAGGUCCUCUUCCCGGAGGAGAACCGCACCUGGGGCAGAAACCUCACGCUAUACCCCGGCUGUGGGUACCUCGCCGGUGCCGCGGCGGGGGCCGCCACGGGGUUCAAGCGCGCGGUGGCGGAGGCGGAGCGCGGCGAGUCGUUCAAGCUGCGCACCAGCCGCGUGCUCAACCACUGCGGCUCCGUGGGACGGAGGUACGGCAACCAUGUCGCCUUGAUCGGGCUGCUCUUCGCGGGGACCGAGUGCGCCGUGGGCAAUCUUCGCGACGCUGACGACUGGCGCAACAUCAUCGCCGCAGGGUUUGGAACCGGCAUGCUCUACCGUGCACCUUCGGGCCCGCGAUCCGCCAUCGUUGGUGCCGCAGUCGGGGGCCUCAUGGCUGCUGCCGCCGUCGCAGGGAACCAGGUGUUCAAGAGAAACGACCGUACCCCGCCCUUCUAA
RNAcentral lists this ribosomal RNA (588 nucleotides) under Triticum aestivum (bread wheat). Its description in RNAcentral is "partial small subunit ribosomal RNA". Lineage: Eukaryota; Viridiplantae; Streptophyta; Magnoliopsida; Poales; Poaceae. The record is from RNAcentral.